This 318-nucleotide ribosomal RNA is filed under the name uncultured bacterium. Its description in RNAcentral is "bacterial SSU rRNA". It matches the Rfam family "Bacterial small subunit ribosomal RNA", at positions 173 to 507 of the family's 1533-position model. The record is from RNAcentral.
AUAAUGCCAGACUGAGACAUCUCUAACUGGCCAAAGAUUUAUCGGCAAAGGAUGGGCCUGCGUCUGAUUAGCUAGUUGUGGGGUAACGGCCUACCAAGGCGACGAUCAGUAGCCGACCUGAGAGGGUGAUCGGCCACAUUGGAACUGAGACACGGUCCAAACUCCUACGGGAGGCAGCAGUGGGGAAUAUUGCACAAUGGGCGAAAGCCUGAUGCAGCAACGCCGCGUGAAGGAAGAAGGUCUUCGGAUUGUAAACUUUUGUCGACAGGGAAGAAAAAAAUGACAGUACCUGUGGAGGAAGCCCCGGCUAACUACGUG